GACGAACGCUGGCGGCGUGCCUAAUACAUGCAAGUCGAGCGCAGGAAACUGACGGAACUCUUCGGAGGGAAGGCAGUGGAAUGAGCGGCGGACGGGUGAGUAACACGUAAGGAACCUGCCUCAAGGAUUGGGAUAACUCCGAGAAAUCGGAGCUAGUACCGGAUAGUUCAUCGGACCGCAUGGUCCGCUGAUGAAAGGCGCUCCGGCGUCACCUUGAGAUGGCCUUGCGGUGCAUUAGCUAGUUGGUGGGGUAACGGCCCACCAAGGCGACGAUGCAUAGCCGACCUGAGAGGGUGAUCGGCCACACUGGGACUGAGACACGGCCCAGACUCCUACGGGAGGCAGCAGUAGGGAAUCUUCCACAAUGGGCGAAAGUCUGAUGGAGCAACGCCGCGUGAGUGAUGAAGGUUCUCGGAUCGUAAAACUCUGUUGUAAGGGAAGAACACGUACGAGAGGGAAUGCUCGUACCUUGACGGUACCUUACGAGAAAGCCACGGCUAACUACGUGCCAGCCGCCGCAGUAA
RNAcentral lists this ribosomal RNA (524 nucleotides) under uncultured bacterium. Its description in RNAcentral is "partial 16S ribosomal RNA". It matches the Rfam family "Bacterial small subunit ribosomal RNA", at positions 28 to 523 of the family's 1533-position model. The record is from RNAcentral.